GAUGAACGCUGGCGGCGUGCCUAAUACAUGCAAGUCGAGCGAACAGACGAGGAGCUUGCUCCUCUGACGUUAGCGGCGGACGGGUGAGUAACACGUGGAUAACCUACCUAUAAGACUGGGAUAACUUCGGGAAACCGGAGCUAAUACCGGAUAAUAUAUUGAACCGCAUGGUUCAAUAGUUAAAUACGGUUUUUCUGUCACUUAUAGAUGGAUCCGCGCCGCAUUAGCUAGUUGGUAAGGUAACGGCUUACCAAGGCAACGAUGCGUAGACGACCUGAGAGGGUGAUCGGCCACACUGGAACUGAGACACGGUCCAGACUCCUACGGGAGGAAGCAGUAGGGAAUCUUCCGCAAUGGGCGAAAGCCUGACGGAGCAACGCCGCGUGAGUGAUGAAGGUCUUCGGAUCGUAAAACUCUGUUAUUAGGGAAGAACAAAUGUGUAAGUAACUAUGCACGUAUUGACAGUACCUAAUCAGAAAGCCACGGCUAACUACGUG
Molecule: ribosomal RNA, 497 nt
Filed under: uncultured bacterium
Lineage: Bacteria
Description: partial 16S ribosomal RNA
Rfam family: Bacterial small subunit ribosomal RNA
Source: RNAcentral